CGAGGUGUAGCGCAGUUGGUAGCGCGCCUGCUUUGGGAGCAGGAUGCCGGGGGUUCAAGUCCUCUCACCUCGACCA
RNAcentral lists this transfer RNA (76 nucleotides) under Clostridiaceae bacterium. RNAcentral's name for it is "tRNA-Pro". It matches the Rfam family "tRNA". From Rfam's summary of the family: Transfer RNA (tRNA) molecules are approximately 80 nucleotides in length. Their secondary structure includes four short double-helical elements and three loops (D, anti-codon, and T loops). Further hydrogen bonds mediate the characteristic L-shaped molecular structure. tRNAs have two regions of fundamental functional importance: the anti-codon, which is responsible for specific mRNA codon recognition, and the 3' end, to which the tRNAs corresponding amino acid is attached (by aminoacyl-tRNA synthetases). tRNAs cope with the degeneracy of the genetic code in two manners: having more than one tRNA (with a specific anti-codon) for a particular amino acid; and 'wobble' base-pairing, i.e. permitting non-standard base-pairing at the 3rd anti-codon position. Lineage: Bacteria; Bacillati; Bacillota; Clostridia; Eubacteriales; Clostridiaceae. The record is from RNAcentral.